RNAcentral lists this transfer RNA (74 nucleotides) under Aspergillus clavatus NRRL 1. Its description in RNAcentral is "tRNA-Lys (TTT) (tRNA-Lys-TTT-2-1)". It matches the Rfam family "tRNA". From Rfam's summary of the family: Transfer RNA (tRNA) molecules are approximately 80 nucleotides in length. The record is from RNAcentral. Lineage: Eukaryota; Fungi; Ascomycota; Eurotiomycetes; Eurotiales; Aspergillaceae.
GCCCGAUUAACUCAGUUGGUUAGAGUGUCAGACUUUUAAUCUGAAAGUCACGAGUUCGACCCUCGUAUCGGGCG